RNAcentral lists this ribosomal RNA (252 nucleotides) under uncultured bacterium. Its description in RNAcentral is "partial 16S ribosomal RNA". It matches the Rfam family "Archaeal small subunit ribosomal RNA", at positions 474 to 726 of the family's 1478-position model. The record is from RNAcentral.
UACCAGCACCCCGAGUGGUCGGGACGAUUAUUGGGCCUAAAGCAUCCGUAGCCGGUUCUGCAAGUCCCCCGUUAAAUCCAGCUGCUCAACAGAUGGGCCGCGGAGGAUACUCCAGAGCUAGGAGGCAGGAGAGGCAAGCGGUACUCAGUGGGUAGGGGUAAAAUCCUCUGAUCCAUUGAAGACCACCAGUGGCGAAGGCGGCUUGCCAGAACGCGCUCGACGGUGAGGGAUGAAAGCUGGGGGAGCAACCGG